Long non-coding RNA from Nicotiana tabacum (common tobacco), 2353 nucleotides. RefSeq lists it as uncharacterized. The record is from RefSeq and is a predicted model, not a curated record. Lineage: Eukaryota; Viridiplantae; Streptophyta; Magnoliopsida; Solanales; Solanaceae.
UAUUUUCCUGCCCACCCCUCUAAAUAAAUAAAUAAUAAAGAAAAAAAAGCCUCGACUCAAACAGAACUACUUAGCAAUAGAAACUGCCAAGACUUCAUCUCGCAGACUCAAAAUUCUCAUUCUCUAAGGCGUAUAUUUGUUUGAAAUUUGUGGAUACAUUGUAGUGCUUGGUGACAUACUUUUUCUACUUUCAGUUUUUUGUAAUUUGAUAUUCUCUCAUGCUUUCUCUUUAUUUCUUAUGUGUAGAAUCUUUAAAAUAAGCUUCAAAAUUUUACUGGGCAACAUAGGAAUAAGCUCAAGAUUCUGUCGCCACAAGUUAAGAAACGUAGAGAUAUUCUAAGAGAGCUUCAGGUGCGUUCUUGGUUCAAUUUCGAACUUCGUCUCUGUUCUUCUUGCCUUUCUUCUGAUGUUUAAUUUGUGAAGAUUCAUCUGUCAUGGUUAUAUUAAAUUGGUGAAGGAUUGUUGUGAUAACUUAGCCCUAAUUGUUUUGGGAUCUAUUGGAGAUUGUACUUUUAUAAUUGUCUAUGGAAUUGCUCACCAGCUGUUCGACUAAUUUCCUGAAUGAAUAUUGGAGCCUUAGAAUUAGCAUCUUUCAUCCCCACUGCUAAAUAAACUCCAAGAACUUUUUUCAGUCAAUAGAUUUUGCAAUACGUGUUUUAAUUUUCAGUAAUACAUAUUUGAAUAAAGAAAUAUAAUAUCUUUUAAAAAAUUUGAUUAACUACAAAAUAUUGUACCAUAUAGCAGCAUAAUUGCCUUGUAGAGGCAACAUAAAAAAAUGAUAGAUACCAGAAAAGUAGAGUAACAUGAGCACUGAAAAGGGAAAUAACAAUGGAAUAUAACAGUGAAAGAUCCUAAGAUCCACCUUCUUAGAAAUAGUCAAAUACUAUAGCAUUUGAAAUACUACCACAGUUAGCCAAUUUCAAUAAGUAAUAAUUUUUGAGCUAGAAAACUAACACCUUGAAAAGUUUCUACGAAAGCUAAAUAAGGUAAGAGCACAACAAGUAAUAGCCAAAUAAUAAGAUGCAACUGCAAUGCAAGCUUUACAUUCAUUUUAAGACUCUAGUAAUCAUGGUUAGUCUAUUUUUCAGUGGAUGUCUUCUUAUAAGAAAGUACAGUGAGCAAAUCAAACAUAUUUAGCAACAAAAAGAAUAGUUAUAGGGAUCAUCAAAUCGAAAAAGCUUUAGUCGUCAUGAGCAUGUUGCAAAUAAUUUUUUGUUAAUUCCUUUUAAUUGGGAUUAUUUUUCGACUUUCUUCUAAUUCUAGAGGUGUUGGAAAAUACAUUUUGAGGUUGAUAAAAGGGUUUUUUGAAGCUGCUGAUUGUGGUACUUCAUUAUCUGAGGAGACUAAUGACCAGUGAGAAAGGACAAUCUUAAAUUUAUUUUUUGAAUAUAUUUUAUUCUGCUUUUAUCAUUGAAUGACCAUUGCACUACUUAGAGGAAGGUAUAGUGUUUAUACUAUUACCCUGUUCUCAGGGUAAUAGUAUCUUGGCAGAUUCUGCCUCUGAGCAGAUUGAAUUUAUUGCUCUUUCGCAAAGGACAGAAGACCCAAAGUAUCAACAGAAGGUGGAGAUUGUUAUCUUAGAACUUAAUAGAACUUUUUCAGAUGAUGGUUUGCUUCCAAUACACAUUAAUCCGGAGAGAGGGAUUAAUGCCUUCCACUGUUUAUGGUCAUUUUCGAAUAUGUAGAUCAAAUAGAACUUUUUACAUUCAGUUUAAAUAUAAAAGAAUACCUGAAAGUUUAAAAUUUGACUGGGAAAUGCUCGACUCUUUUUAUGUACUAGUUAUGGUAUCCAUUAAAAUAUUAGCUAGUUAUGGUUAGUCUUCAUUUCGAUCUUUCUUCUGGUUCAAUAUUCAUUGUUCCUGAAAUACUCUUGUCUGAUAAAUUGUAAUUGCUUUCUGUGGGAAGUUUCAGUCAAUUUAGUUCUCUUUUCGAAUAUAUAGAUGAUUCCUAUAAAAUUGUGCUUGCUUUCUUUGUGGUCAAUCUUUAUUUUGUGGGAAAGUAAAAAGGAAGAAAAAGUAGAAGCUUAUAGGAGUAUUUUUUAUUAGACUGAUAAGAAUUUAUUAUUUUAACAGAUAAAAAAACUGAAGUCUGAAGAACCUGUCCUUGAAAAAAGUGCAGAGUAAGUAGCAACUGAAAAUGCUAAAGAACAAGUUGAACCAGAAGAGGAGCCUAUUUUCUCUUUUGUUAGGAGUUAUUUAACAGAUAUUUCAUUUGUAAUGCUACAAUCUAUUUUCUGUUUUGUUAGGAGUUGACAAGUUUAUUGUCCAUUUUGGAUAGGUAUAUUUUUGGUAGUGUUUUGCUUUUGUUCCUUGUAAUUAACUGUGAAAUUUAUAGGAAUAUUGAUUAUUUCUUA